Molecule: ribosomal RNA, 1221 nt
Filed under: uncultured organism
Description: bacterial SSU rRNA
Rfam family: Bacterial small subunit ribosomal RNA
Source: RNAcentral
CGCUUGAGGAUGGGCGUGCGUGCUAUUAGCUAGUUGGUGAGGUAAUGGCUCACCAAGGCGACGAUAGCUAGGGGGCGUGAGAGCGUGACCCCCCACACGGGUACUGAGACACGGACCCGACUCCUACGGGAGGCAGCAGUAAGGAAUAUUGGGCAAUGGACGCAAGUCUGACCCAGCCAUGCCGCGUGCAGGAUGACUGCCCUAUGGGUUGUAAACUGCUUUUGUUUGGGAAGAAACCCCCGAUCGUGAUCGGGGCUGACGGUACCAUACGAAUAAGCAUCGGCUAACUCCGUGCCAGCAGCCGCGGUAAUACGGAGGAUGCAAGCGUUAUCCGGAUUCAUUGGGUUUAAAGGGUGCGCAGGCGGAAUAUUAAGUCAGUGGUGAAAUCCUGCAGCUUAACUGUAGAACUGCCAUUGAUACUGAUAUUCUUGAAUAUAGUUGAGGUGGGCGGAAUGUGUAAUGUAGCGGUGAAAUGCUUAGAUAUUACACAGAACACCAAUUGCGAAGGCAGCUCACUAAACUAAUAUUGACGCUGAGGCACGAAAGCGUGGGUAGCAAACAGGAUUAGAUACCCUGGUAGUCCACGCUGUAAACUAUGAUCACUCGCUGUUGGCAAUACAUCGUCAGCGGCUGAGCGAAAGCAUUAAGUGAUCCACCUGGGGAGUACGGUCGCAAGAUUGAAACUCAAAGGAAUUGACGGGGGCCCGCACAAGCGGAGGAACAUGUGGUUUAAUUCGAUGAUACGCGAGGAACCUUACCUGGGCUUAAAUGCAGAGCGACGUCCGCCGAAAGGUGGAUUCCUUCGGGCGAUCUGCAAGGUGCUGCAUGGUUGUCGUCAGCUCGUGCCGUGAGGUGUCGGGUUAAGUCCCAUAACGAGCGCAACCCUUAUCGCUAGUUGCCAGCGGGUAAUGCCGGGGACUCUAACGAAACUGCCGGUGUAAACCGUGAGGAAGGUGGGGAUGACGUCAAAUCAGCACGGCCCUUAUGUCCAGGGCUACACACGUGUUACAAUGGUCGGUACAGAGGGCAGCUACCACGCAAGUGGAUGCUAAUCUCGAAAACCGGUCUCAGUUCGGAUUGAAGUCUGCAACUCGACUUCAUGAAGCUGGAUUCGCUAGUAAUCGCGCAUCAGCCAUGGCGCGGUGAAUACGUUCCCGGGCCUUGUACACACCGCCCGUCAAGCCAUGGAAGCUUGGGGUACCUGAAGUCCGUAACCGCAAG